Molecule: non-coding RNA, 280 nt
Organism: Callithrix jacchus (white-tufted-ear marmoset)
Lineage: Eukaryota; Metazoa; Chordata; Mammalia; Primates; Cebidae
Source: Rfam
UGGCGCCCAACGUGGGGCUCGAGUACGAGGGGUACAGUGAGGGACGCCGUCGAGGUCAGCCGGCACAGAAGGAUUGAGAAAACCCGGAGGAAAGAGCAUCGUGGGAGCCUGCCACGGACUUGCGCUCCGGUAAGCGGACGGCGAAUAUGGGACAGGAAAUCAGCCAGCAUGAGUUGUUUAUAGAGAGUUUAAGUAAGGCUUUAAAGGCGCGAGGAGUAAAGGUGAAAAUAAAACAAUUGUGUAAAUAUUUUGACUAUAUCCAUCCAGGAUGUCUGCCCUU